UACGUAGGGGGCAAGCGUUGUCCGGAAUCAUUGGGCGUAAAGAGCGUGUAGGCAGCCCGAUAAGUCCGCUGUGAAAGUCCAGGGCUCAACCCUGGGAUGCCGGUGGAUACUGUCGGACUAGAGUACGGAAGAGGCGAGUGGAAUUCCCGGUGUAGCGGUGAAAUGCGCAGAUAUCGGGAGGAACACCAGUGGCGAAGGCGGCUACCUGGCCCAUUCUUGACGCUGAGGCGCGAAAGCUAGGGGAGCAAACGGG
Molecule: ribosomal RNA, 253 nt
Filed under: uncultured bacterium
Lineage: Bacteria
Description: partial 16S ribosomal RNA
Rfam family: Bacterial small subunit ribosomal RNA
Source: RNAcentral